RNAcentral lists this ribosomal RNA (245 nucleotides) under uncultured bacterium. Its description in RNAcentral is "partial 16S ribosomal RNA". It matches the Rfam family "Bacterial small subunit ribosomal RNA", at positions 524 to 768 of the family's 1533-position model. The record is from RNAcentral.
UACGGAGGUCCCUAGCGUUGUUCGGAAUUACUGGGCGUAAAGGGCGUCUAGGCGGGAUGGCAAGUCGGGUAUGAAAUGCUCUGGCUCAACCAGAGAAUUGUGCCCGAAACUGCCGUCCUUGAGUAUAGCAGAGGACAGUGGAACUCUUGGUGGAGCGGUGAAAUGCGUAGAUAUCAAGAGGAACGCCGGAGGCGAAAGCGAUUGUCUGGGCUAUUACUGACGCUGAAGCGCGAAAGCUAGGGGAG